UACGUAGGCAGCGAGCGUUGUUCGGAGUUACUGGGCGUAAAGAGUGCGUAGGCGGUUUUCUAAGUUUGGUGUGAAAUCUCCCGGCUUAACUGGGAGGGUGCGCCGAAGACUGGAAGGCUUGAGUAUGGGAGAGGUAAGCGGAAUUCCUGGUGUAGCGGUGAAAUGCGUAGAUAUCAGGAGGAACACCAAUGGCGAAGGCAGAUCUCUGGGCCGUAACUGACGCUGAGGAGCGAAAGCAUGGGGAGCGAACAGG
RNAcentral lists this ribosomal RNA (253 nucleotides) under uncultured bacterium. Its description in RNAcentral is "partial 16S ribosomal RNA". It matches the Rfam family "Bacterial small subunit ribosomal RNA", at positions 524 to 776 of the family's 1533-position model. The record is from RNAcentral.